UAAAUCCUCCGAAUGCUAUAAAUACAAGCGUCCACACUCCUCUUUCAGCCCCAGCCGUCUCUAAUCAAAUCCUAUUUCAUUUCCUUUCUUUCUUUUUCGCAUAAUCGUCUAAUUUUCUUCAUUCUACCGUCUUUCGAAAUUUUAAACCCUAAUUCAAUUUCUCCACUUUCCUUCGAUUUUGUCUGUAGGUUUUAAUCGAGCGUCUGUUUUCUGUUCUACGACUGGUUUUUGUUUACUGAUUGUUGCAGUUUUCUUUUUCGAUUGAUCUAAAUGCUUCUGUUUACCCUCGUCUUGACAUCGUUAUUAACAGAUCAAGGGGAUAAAGCAGAUGCAAAUAUCUAAAGAGAAAUAGCAGACGGGCGGUCUGAAAUGAUGCCGUGUUGAUUGUCUGCAACUCCCAUUUUCAUGGGUUCCUGAGGAUGAUUAGAGCAAUCCUAAAUAUGGUUCUGUUUUUUUUUUGUGUGUGUGUGGAUUUUAGGGUAAUAAUUUGAAGUGCCAGUGAGAGUGAAUAAAUUGAUUUAAAUUCAUUGUUCGUUUUUGCUAUGAUGAAGUUUUGCCUAAAUUAUGUCUGGACAUAUGAUAUUUGUCUGUGAUUAGCUGGUGCAUACUUCUGAGCUACUUCUGUGAUAGUUCCUCAUUUUGUAUAUGUAUGGGGAAUCAUGAUCAUCUUCUACCGCGUUAAUUUGUGGGUUUUAAGUACCGAUUAUGUUCAUAGUAGCUAUCCAGAGAUUGUUGUUGGGGGUUUUAUUCUUCUGAUUGAAAGGCAAUUGUAGUGGAUUUGAUUUCUUUUACACGGUUAGUUCAGAUCUUAA
Long non-coding RNA from Cucumis sativus (cucumber), 812 nucleotides. RefSeq lists it as uncharacterized. Lineage: Eukaryota; Viridiplantae; Streptophyta; Magnoliopsida; Cucurbitales; Cucurbitaceae. The record is from RefSeq and is a predicted model, not a curated record. The transcript has 2 exons.